This 447-nucleotide ribosomal RNA is filed under the name uncultured bacterium. Its description in RNAcentral is "partial 16S ribosomal RNA". It matches the Rfam family "Bacterial small subunit ribosomal RNA", at positions 331 to 795 of the family's 1533-position model. The record is from RNAcentral.
CCAGACUCCUACGGGAGGCAGCAGUGGGGAAUAUUGCACAAUGGGGGGAACCCUGAUGCAGCGACGCCGCGUGGGCGAAGAAGUAUUUCGGUAUGUAAAGCUCUAUCAGCAGGGAAGAAGAUGACAGUACCUGAGUAAGAAGCCCCGGCUAACUACGUGCCAGCAGCCGCGGUAAUACGUAGGGGGCAAGCGUUAUCCGGAUUUACUGGGUGUAAAGGGAGCGUAGACGGCGAUGCAAGUCUGAAGUGAAAGGCGGGGGCCCAACCCCCGGACUGCUUUGGAAACUGUAUAGCUGGAGUGCAGGAGAGGUAAGUGGAAUUCCUAGUGUAGCGGUGAAAUGCGUAGAUAUCAGGAGGAACACCGGUGGCGAAGGCGGCCUGCUGGACUGCGACUGACGUUGAGGCCCGAAAGCGUGGGGAGCAAACAGGAUUAGAUACCCCGGUAGUU